Molecule: ribosomal RNA, 1472 nt
Filed under: uncultured Bordetella sp.
Lineage: Bacteria; Pseudomonadati; Pseudomonadota; Betaproteobacteria; Burkholderiales; Alcaligenaceae
Description: partial 16S-23S ribosomal RNA intergenic spacer
Rfam family: Bacterial small subunit ribosomal RNA
Source: RNAcentral
GUUCGAUCAUGGCUCGAUUGAACGCUGGCGGGAUGCUUUACACAUGCAAGUCGGUGGCGGCACGGACUUCGGUCUGGUGGCGAGAGUGGCGAACGGGUGAGUAAUGUAUCAGAACGUGCUUAGUAGCGCUGAGAUAACUGCGCGGCGUAGCUAAUACCGCAUACGCCCUUCGGGGAAAGCGGGGGACCUUCGGGCCUCGCACUAUUAGAGCGGCCGAUAUCAGGUUAGCUAGUUGGUGGGGUAACGGCUCACCAAGGCGACGAUCCGUAGCUGGUUUGAGAGGACGACCAGCCACUGGGACUGAGACACGGCCCAGACUCCUGCGAGGCAGCAGUGGGGGUACGGACAAUGGGGAAACCCUGAUCCAGCCAUCCCGUGUGCGAUGAAGGCCUUCGGGUUGUAAAGCACUUUUUGGCAGGAAAAACGGCACAGGACACAUACCCCGUGCAACUGACAGUACCUGCAGAAUAAGCACCGGCUAACUACGUGCCAGCAGCCGCGGUAUUAGCCGUAAGUGCAAGCGUUAAUCGGAAUUACUGGGCGUAAAAGCGUGCGCAGGCGGUUCGGAAAGAAGAUGUGAAAUCCCAGAGCUUACUUUGGAACUGCAUUUUUAACGGCUAGAGUGUGUCAGAGAGGUGGAAUUCCGCGUGUAGCAGUGAAAUGCGUAGAUAUGCGGAGGAACACCGAUAGCGAAAAACAGCCUCCUGGGAUAACACUGACGCUCAUGCACGAAAGCGUGGGGAGCAAACGGGAUUAGAUACCUGGUAGUCCACGCCCUAAACGAUGUCAGCUAGCUGUUGGGGCCUUCGGGCCUUGGUAGCGCAACUAACGCGUGAAGUUGACCGCCUGGGAGUACGGUCGCAGGAAUUAAAACUCAAAGGAAUUGACGGGGACCCGCACAAGCGGUGGAUGAUGUGGAUUAAUUCGAUGCAACGCGAAAAACCUUACCUACCCUUGACAUGUCUGGAAUCCCGAAGAGAUUUGGGAGUGCUCAUGAGAACCGGAACACAGGUGCUGCAUGGCUGUCGUCGGCUCGUGUCGUGAGAUGUUGGGUUAAGUCCCGCAACGGGCACAACCCUUGUCAUUAGUUGCUACGAAAGGGCACUCUAAUGAGACUGCCGGUGACAAACCGGAGGAAGGUGGGGAUGACGUCAAGUCCUCAUGGCCCUUAUGGGUAGGGCUUCACACGUCAUACAAUGGUCGGGACAGAGGGUCGCCAACCCGCGAGGGGGAACCAAUCCCAGAAACCCGAUCGUAGUCCGGAUCGCAGUCUGCAACUCGACUGCGUGAAGUCGGAAUCGCUAGUAAUCGCGGAUCAGCAUGUCGCGGUGAAUACGUUCCCGGGUCUUGUACACACCGCCCGUCACACCAUGGGAGUGGGUUUUUUGCCAGAAGUAGAUGCCAGCCCUAACCGUAAGGAGGGCGAUUACCACGGUAGGAUUCAUGACUGGGGUGAAGUCGUAACAAGGUAA